Molecule: ribosomal RNA, 351 nt
Filed under: uncultured bacterium
Lineage: Bacteria
Description: bacterial SSU rRNA
Rfam family: Bacterial small subunit ribosomal RNA
Source: RNAcentral
AGAGUUUGAUCAUGGCUCAGGAUGAACGCUAGCUACAGGCUUAACACAUGCAAGUCGAGGGGAAACGACAUCGAAAGCUUGCUUUUGAUGGGCGUCGACCGGCGCACGGGUGAGUAACGCGUAUCCAACCUGCCCACCACUUGGGGAUAACCUUGCGAAAGUAAGACUAAUACCCAAUGAUAUCUCUAGAAGACAUCUGAAAGAGAUUAAAGAUUUAUCGGUGAUGGAUGGGGAUGCGCCUGAUUAGCUUGUUGGCGGGGUAACGGCCACCAGGCGACGAUCAGUAAGGGUUCUGAGAGGAAGGUCCCCCANAUUGGAACUGAGACACGGUCCAAACUCCUACGGGAGGCA